UCCCUUUGAAAUCCGAGGAAGACAAGCACCUUCACUGUGACCGAAUCCGGUAAGGCAAAUCUCUCCUCUCUUAUUUGUCGACAACCACUCAUAUCUACAUCCUCUCACUAGACCCUUUAAAGGUGGUUUGUGCUCCUGGUGUGGAAGCCAUAACCAUAUGAAGAUGGAUUAUAGAAAUCUCAUAACAUGUUUUUGUUAUUGCCAACUUGAUCGUUCAACCAAAACAUGC
RNAcentral lists this long non-coding RNA (229 nucleotides) under Elaeis guineensis (African oil palm). RNAcentral's name for it is "long non-coding RNA (EGUI_LNC059262)". The record is from RNAcentral. Lineage: Eukaryota; Viridiplantae; Streptophyta; Magnoliopsida; Arecales; Arecaceae.